Molecule: ribosomal RNA, 425 nt
Filed under: uncultured bacterium
Lineage: Bacteria
Description: bacterial SSU rRNA
Rfam family: Bacterial small subunit ribosomal RNA
Source: RNAcentral
GAGGAAUAUUGCGCAAUGGACGAAAGUCUGACGCAGCAACGCCGCGUGGGUGAUGACGCAUUUCGGUGUGUAAAACCCUGUCAGUGGGGAGGAAACGUAUCGGGAGUAACUGCCCGAUGCCUGACGGUACCCGCAGAGGAAGUCCCGGCUAACUCCGUGCCAGCAGCCGCGGUAAUACGGGGGGGACGAGCGUUGUUCGGAUUUACUGGGCGUAAAGGGCGCGUAGGCGGGCCUUCAAGUCGGAUGUGAAACCUGGCGGCUUAACCACCAGCCUGCAUUCGAUACUGUCGGUCUUGAGUAUGGGAGAGGAGAAUGGAAUUCCAGGUGUAGCGAUGAAAUGCGUAGAUAUCUGGAAGAACACCAGUAGCGAAGGCGGUUCUCUGGACCAAUACUGACGCUAAAGCGCGAAGGCUUGGGGAGCAAAC